This 274-nucleotide ribosomal RNA is filed under the name uncultured bacterium. Its description in RNAcentral is "partial 16S ribosomal RNA". It matches the Rfam family "Bacterial small subunit ribosomal RNA", at positions 523 to 796 of the family's 1533-position model. The record is from RNAcentral.
AUACGGGGGGUGCGAGCGUUAUUCGGAAUUACUGGGCGUAAAGAGCGCGUAGGCGGUCUUUUAAGUCAGGUGUGAAAGCCCGGGGCUCAACCCCGGAAGUGCACUUGAAACUAAGAGACUUGAGUAUGGGAGAGGGAAGUGGAAUUCCUGGUGUAGCGGUGAAAUGCGUAGAUAUCAGGAGGAACAUCAGUGGCGAAGGCGACUUCCUGGACCAAUACUGACGCUGAGGCGCGAAGGCGUGGGGAGCAAACAGGAUUAGAAACCCUGGUAGUCC